Molecule: long non-coding RNA, 2088 nt
Organism: Salmo salar (Atlantic salmon)
Lineage: Eukaryota; Metazoa; Chordata; Actinopteri; Salmoniformes; Salmonidae
Source: RefSeq, a predicted model, not a curated record
CUGCUAUAUGAUGGUGUAGUGGAGGGGGGCAGAAGCAGCCCCUGCACUGCUAUAUGAUGGUGUAGCCCAAUACGCCAUUAAUGAGCCAGAAGCUCAUGGGCUGCAGUCUAGUGAAGGAUCACACAAGGCCUGCAAAGUACACUGGUAUGUAUUUAUAAAUUAUACAAUUAUACACACACACUAAAAUGUGUGGUUCUGUUUAUGUACUACUCUCUUUUUUGUUGUCUCUCUGUUUAAGGGGGUCGAGUACCUCUUCUCCCAGACCCAUGGUGACCAGAGGCUGGAAUCCAACCUCGGCAGAGCAGGCAACAGAUGGCACACAGACAGCAGAGUUGGGGACAGAUAUGCAGAGACAGGGAGUCUCAGGAAUUGCUCUUGAGAAAAUUUCAUGUAAUUGUCCCCUCCAAAGUGGAUAUCAGAUUUUCGCCCCUGACUCCACCGCCCACUGAGCUCACUCAACCCAACCCAUCCCAGCUACCUGUCAACCCAUCCCAGCUAGCUACCAACUGCUCUAUUUUAUGAUGACACUACGGAGGAGGUGGACACUGCAUUCGCUGCCGAUCAGGACACGGAGGAUGAUGAGUACAUAGGACCUGAUGGGGUUAGUGGAUACCAGCACGUGGUCCUCCUUGCCAAGAGUCUGCUCCCUGCUUGGCUAAGGCUCUGGACCUGCUCAGUGGCCCAACACCAGCAGGACAGUAGAGGCCAUUUUCAUUGAGCUGUGCCACAAACACCCUGCUGGCAAGACGAUGCUUGGAAACCGGGUUAACAGGUUACCAUCCUGGGGGAUUACAGGAGAAUCAGAACCAUGGUGCUGGUCAGCCCAAACCUGAAUACCCACACAAGGCUGCAACUGUUCCAGGUCAACAAGUUGACCUUGACACAGUGGUACAACAAACGGAUAUCCUCCAUGUAGAGAGUGACUCUGCACCAGACCAGAGGGAGGAGUCAGUCCCCUUCCACCCUGCAGUCAGGAGCACAGCACCGCUGCCAGCCCCAUCAUCCAGCAGCACCUACCAGCUUCCAGAGGACAGAACGGGGCAGGCUACACAGCGUGGCAGAGCAGCCACUCCUACCAUCACCCAGUCUGCCUACCUACCUUCCUCCCUAAUUCUCCAGUCUCCCAAGACCUGCCCUCGACCUGCACUCCUCUACCCCCUCCUGCUGGUGGACCCAAGGUCUCCAGGACCACCGAAUGGAGGAGGAGGAAGAGGUUGUAGUCUGGGACGUACGAAGGAUACAACUGCUCUAAAUUACUCUUUUUUUUUUUAUGGCAUUCAUCUUCAUUCACCUUAACUUGUACAUACAUCUCUUGUAUAUUUAUUUAUUUAAUGGGACAUUUACUUAACUAGGCAAGUCAGUUAAGAACAAAUUCUUAUUUACAAUGACGGCCUACACCGGCAAAACCCGGACGACGCCCUAUGGGACUCCAAAUCACGGACUUGUACAGUGGGUGUAGGGGACAUCAUGUUGUGUUGGGAACACAUGUACAGUGGGUGUAGGGGACAUCAUGUUGUGUUGGGAACACAUGUACAGUGGGUGUAGGGGACAUCAUGUUGUGUUGGGAACACAUGUACAGUGGGUGUAGGGGACAUCAUGUUGUGUUGGGAACACAUGUACAGUGGGUGUAGGGGACAUCAUGUUGUGUUGGGAACACAUGUACAGUGGGUGUAGGGGACAUCAUGUUGUGUUGGGAACACAUGUACAGUGGGUGUAGGGGACAUCAUGUUGUGUUGGGAACACAUGUACAGUGGGUGUAGGGGACAUCAUGUUGUGUUGGGAACACAUGUACAGUGGGUGUAGGGGACAUCAUGUUGUGUUGGGAACACAUGUACAGUGGGUGUAGGGGACAUCAUGUUGUGUUGGGAACACAUGUACAGUGGGUGUAGGGGACAUCAUGUUGUGUUGGGAACACAUGUACAGUGGGUGUAGGGGACAUCAUGUUGUGUUGGGAACACAUGUACAGUGGGUGUAGGGGACAUCAUGUUGUGUUGGGAACACAUGACAUUCCCUGUGACAAUCAAUAAUAAUUGAAUUCAAGUUAAUUGAAUAAAUUUUUUAAAUAAAAGCACUUUUUCUCCCUUGAAA